This 468-nucleotide ribosomal RNA is filed under the name uncultured bacterium. RNAcentral describes it as "partial 16S ribosomal RNA". It matches the Rfam family "Bacterial small subunit ribosomal RNA", at positions 28 to 507 of the family's 1533-position model. The record is from RNAcentral.
GACGAACGCUGGCGGCGUGCUUAACACAUGCAAGUCGAACGGAAAGGCCCUGCUUUUGUGGGGUGCUCGAGUGGCGAACGGGUGAGUAACACGUGAGUAACCUGCCCUUGACUUUGGGAGAACUUCAGGAAACUGGGGCUAAUACCGGAUAGGAGCUCCUGCUGCAUGGUGGGGGUUGGAAAGUUUCGGCGGUUGGGGCUGGACUCGCGGCUUAUGAGCUUGUUGGUGGGGUAGUGGCUUACCAAGGCUUUGACGGGUAGCCGGCCUGAGAGGGUGACCGGCCACAUUGGGACUGAGAUACGGCCCAGACGCCUACGGGAGGCAGCGGUGGGGAAUAUUGCACAAUGGGCGGAAGCCUGAUGCAGCGACGCCGCGUGCGGGAUGACGGCCUUCGGGUUGUAAACAGCUUUCGCAUGUGACGAAGCGUGAGUGACGGUAAUGGGUAAAGAAGCACCGGCUAACUACGUG